RNAcentral lists this ribosomal RNA (459 nucleotides) under uncultured Bacteroidales bacterium. RNAcentral's name for it is "partial 16S ribosomal RNA". It matches the Rfam family "Bacterial small subunit ribosomal RNA", at positions 338 to 794 of the family's 1533-position model. Lineage: Bacteria; Pseudomonadati; Bacteroidota; Bacteroidia; Bacteroidales. The record is from RNAcentral.
CCUACGGGUGGCAGCAGUGAGGAAUAUUGGUCAAUGGGCGCAAGCCUGAACCAGCCAUGCCGCGUGAAGGAUGAAGGCCCUACGGGUCGUAAACUUCUUUUGUACGGGACGAAACCACCGAUCGUGAUCGGUGCUGACGGUACUGUACGAAUAAGCAUCGGCUAACUCCGUGCCAGCAGCCGCGGUAAUACGGAGGAUGCAAGCGUUAUCCGGAUUCAUUGGGUUUAAAGGGUGCGUAGGCGGGAUAAUAAGUCAGUGGAGAAAGCUUACGGCUUAACUGUAGAAUUGCCAUUGAUACUGUUAUUCUUGAGGGCAGUUGAGGUAGCUGGAAUGUGUGGUGUAGCGGUAAAAUGCUUAGAUAUCACACAGAACACCGAUUGCGAAGGCGGGUCACAAAACUGCAACUGACGCGGAGGCACGAAAGCGGGGGGAGCAAACAGGAUGAGAUCCCCUGGUAGU